RNAcentral lists this long non-coding RNA (257 nucleotides) under Carica papaya (papaya). RNAcentral's name for it is "long non-coding RNA (CPAP_LNC012051)". The record is from RNAcentral. Lineage: Eukaryota; Viridiplantae; Streptophyta; Magnoliopsida; Brassicales; Caricaceae.
AAUAAGUUUUUUUUUCGAGAGAGAAGUGAGAUUUUUGGAUUAUUAGUAUGAGAAAAAGUUUUUCAUAUAUAUAUUUCUGGGUGAGAUUGGAGCUGAAGACAUGGGGGUUUUUGUCUCAACUCUCAAGUUCAAGCUCAAAUCCUCUGUUACAUGAGAUGGUUUAUUUUAUUUUUGUGAAUUUUUUAAGAAAUUAAAGAAUUAUUUCCAUUAAUUUUGGAAAUUUUUUAUUCAUAGUGGGUCAGUCCUGGAAGAGUGGA